RNAcentral lists this long non-coding RNA (163 nucleotides) under Taeniopygia guttata (zebra finch). RNAcentral describes it as "lncRNA (ENSTGUG00000025244.1)". The record is from RNAcentral. Lineage: Eukaryota; Metazoa; Chordata; Aves; Passeriformes; Estrildidae.
AAUGAGUUCCUGUGUAUGUCCAAAUGCAGCAUUUCACUUACUGGUUUCUACAUGAUUCACUUUUAUGCGCCUUUGCUCAGCUACAGCUGGGAGUUAAUCACUGGAUUUCAGUGCUUUUCUCAUCCAUCCAGCAAGAGGAGGAACAAACUGACCUAAAGAUAAG